UACGUAGGGGGCCAGCGUUGUUCGGAAUUACUGGGCGUAAAGAGCGCGUAGGCGGUAUGGUGUGUUCGGUGUGAAAUCUCCCGGCUCAACUGGGAGGGGUCGCCGAAAACUGCCGUGCUUAGGGUACGGGAAAGGGGAGUGGAAUUCCCGGUGUAGCGGUGAAAUGCGUAGAGAUCGGGAGGAACACCAGCGAUGAAGAUGGCUCCCUGGACCGUCACCGACGCUGAGGCGCGAAAGCUAGGGGAGCAAA
RNAcentral lists this ribosomal RNA (250 nucleotides) under uncultured bacterium. RNAcentral's name for it is "partial 16S ribosomal RNA". It matches the Rfam family "Bacterial small subunit ribosomal RNA", at positions 524 to 772 of the family's 1533-position model. The record is from RNAcentral.